RNAcentral lists this ribosomal RNA (400 nucleotides) under uncultured bacterium. Its description in RNAcentral is "bacterial SSU rRNA". It matches the Rfam family "Bacterial small subunit ribosomal RNA", at positions 355 to 748 of the family's 1533-position model. The record is from RNAcentral.
UGGGGAAUCUUGGACAAUGGGGGCAACCCUGAUCCAGCGAUGCCGCGUGGGUGAAGAAGGCCUUCGGGUUGUAAAGCCCUUUAGGUUGGGAAGAAGUGUAUUGGAGGAAAUGCCGAUACAUUGACGGUACCAACAGAAUAAGCACCGGCAAACUCUGUGCCAGCAGCCGCGGUAAUACAGAGGGUGCGAGCGUUAAUCGGAUUUACUGGGCGUAAAGGGCGCGUAGGCGGUGAGAUGUGUGUGAUGUGAAAGCCCCGGGCUUAACCUGGGAAGUGCAUCGCAAACUAUCUGACUGGAGUAUAAGAGAGGGUGGCGGAAUUUCCGGUGUAGCGGUGAAAUGCGUAGAGAUCGGAAGGAACGUCAAUGGCGAAGGCAGCCACCUGGCUUAAUACUGACGCUG